This 438-nucleotide ribosomal RNA is filed under the name uncultured bacterium. Its description in RNAcentral is "bacterial SSU rRNA". It matches the Rfam family "Bacterial small subunit ribosomal RNA", at positions 954 to 1392 of the family's 1533-position model. The record is from RNAcentral.
GCACAACGCGAAGAACCUUACCAAGGCUUGACAUGCAUCUCUAAGCGCGUGAAAGCGCGUGACCCUUCGGGGGAUUUGCACAGGUGCUGCAUGGCCGUCGUCAGCUCGUGUCGUGAGAUGUUGGGUUAAGUCCCGCAACGAGCGCAACCCUUGUGACUAGUUGCCAGCACGUUAUGGUGGGAACUCUAGUCAGACUGCCCAGAUCAACUGGGAGGAAGGUGGGGACGACGUCAGGUCAGUAUGGCCCUUACGCCUUGGGCUGCACACGUACUACAAUGCCCAGCACAAUGAGAACCGAGACCGCGAGGUGGAGGAAAUCUAAAAAACUGGGCCCAGUUCGGAUUGGAGGCUGCAACUCGCCUCCAUGAAGUUGGAAUCGCUAGUAAUGGCGCAUCAUCUACGGCGCCGUGAAUACGUUCCCGGGUCUUGUACACACCG